CUUCAGUUGUUUUCCCAAAGCCCCUCUGUUUUUGAGACACCACUCAGACACUCUUCUUCGCCCUCGAAGACCAUCCCUGCGAACACGACCUACCCUCGACUUCGCCUGAAGGUAUUCAUGAAGUAAGUGUGCUGCAUUUGGAUUGGAUGUAAAGCCAUUUAUUGUUUGGUUGUUGUAACAACUCAUGAAUAUUGGUACCGAAAGUGAAGAUGAAUAUGACUAAUGUCAUGUGAGAAUUGCUCACGGGAGACGAAUCUUAUACGAAUAUGCAUUGUGCUUCUAUAAUAGCUUAUUAGAAGCCAUUGAUCUCGUCCUCUAAGGUGCUCAGAGUCUUGUGGUACCAAUAAAGUCCAAUUCAAGAAGAAAACUACAAAAAUCUAGUGGAAUUGAUGUAUCUAUUGGAUCUGUUGGAGUACUCCUCUUGAAAAUGACUGGAAACAGUACUGUUAUGAGGAUCUGUCAUUUUCCAUAUUGAUGGAUCUGUUGGAUCUUGUGGAAUUGAUGUAUCUUAUGGUAUCUGCUGAAAGCCAUUGAUUUCAUGUGUUA
This is a long non-coding RNA of Camellia sinensis, 546 nucleotides long. RefSeq lists it as uncharacterized. The record is from RefSeq and is a predicted model, not a curated record. NCBI's taxonomy places the organism in Eukaryota, Viridiplantae, Streptophyta, Magnoliopsida, Ericales, Theaceae.